UCCGGUGUAGCUCAGCGGUAGAGCAAAUCCCUGUUAAGGAUAAGGUCCCAGGUUCGAAUCCUGGCGCCGGAG
This 72-nucleotide transfer RNA is filed under the name bacterium. RNAcentral describes it as "tRNA-Asn". It matches the Rfam family "tRNA". Rfam says of the family: Transfer RNA (tRNA) molecules are approximately 80 nucleotides in length. Their secondary structure includes four short double-helical elements and three loops (D, anti-codon, and T loops). Further hydrogen bonds mediate the characteristic L-shaped molecular structure. tRNAs have two regions of fundamental functional importance: the anti-codon, which is responsible for specific mRNA codon recognition, and the 3' end, to which the tRNAs corresponding amino acid is attached (by aminoacyl-tRNA synthetases). tRNAs cope with the degeneracy of the genetic code in two manners: having more than one tRNA (with a specific anti-codon) for a particular amino acid; and 'wobble' base-pairing, i.e. permitting non-standard base-pairing at the 3rd anti-codon position. The record is from RNAcentral.